RNAcentral lists this ribosomal RNA (253 nucleotides) under uncultured bacterium. RNAcentral describes it as "partial 16S ribosomal RNA". It matches the Rfam family "Bacterial small subunit ribosomal RNA", at positions 524 to 776 of the family's 1533-position model. The record is from RNAcentral.
UACGUAGGCAGCAAGCGUUGUUCGGAAUUAUUGGGCGUAAAGAGCGUGUAGGCGGCCAGACAGGUCCGUUGUGAAAACUCGAGGCUCAACCUCGAGACGCCGAUGGAAACCGUCUGGCUAGAGUCCGGAAGAGGAGAGUGGAAUUCCUGGUGUAGCAGUGAAAUGCGCAGAUAUCAGGAAGAACACCCGUGGCUAAGGCGGCUCUCUAGUACGGUACUGACGCUGAGACGCGAAAGCGUGGGGAGCGAACAGG